This 429-nucleotide ribosomal RNA is filed under the name Chloroflexota bacterium. Its description in RNAcentral is "Chloroflexi bacterium partial 16S ribosomal RNA". It matches the Rfam family "Bacterial small subunit ribosomal RNA", at positions 355 to 776 of the family's 1533-position model. Lineage: Bacteria; Bacillati; Chloroflexota. The record is from RNAcentral.
UGGGGAAUAUUGCACAAUGGGCGCAAGCCUGAUGCAGCCAUGCCGCGUGUAUGAAGAAGGCCUUCGGGUUGUAAAGUACUUUCAGUCGGGAGGAAGGUGUCAAGGUUAAUAACCUUGGCAAUUGACGUUACCGACAGAAGAAGCACCGGCUAACUCCGUGCCAGCAGCCGCGGUAAUACGGAGGGUGCAAGCGUUAAUCGGAAUUACUGGGCGUAAAGCGCACGCAGGCGGUUGAUUGAGUCAGAUGUGAAAUCCCCGGGCUUAACCCGGGAAUUGCAUUUGAUACUGGUCAGCUAGAGUCUUGUAGAGGGGGGUAGAAUUCCAUGUGUAGCGGUGAAAUGCGUAGAGAUGUGGAGGAAUACCGGUGGCGAAGGCGGCCCCCUGGACAAAGACUGACGCUCAGGUGCGAAAGCGUGGGGAGCAAACAGG